RNAcentral lists this long non-coding RNA (2153 nucleotides) under Homo sapiens (human). RNAcentral describes it as "HSALNT0348169". Lineage: Eukaryota; Metazoa; Chordata; Mammalia; Primates; Hominidae. The record is from RNAcentral.
UAUUCUAACUUUGGGUUAAGGCAGUAUUAAUGGAUGACAUUAUUAUGACCACGUAAUAUAAUUCAUUGAAUACCCUCAAGUAAACUUCUAAGAAAACUACAGAUUUGGAGCUUCAAAUGCCUUGGUGAAGUUUCUAAGAACUUGGAUGUCUAAAAAGAACAGGGCAGGAAAUUAUCCAACUUGCAAGAGAAUGCUAGCUGAAAAUCGUCCCAUCUUAUGGAAAACCGGUAGAAAAUCCAGGAGGUGAAAUGGAGAACAUGUUCAACUGGAGAAUUCUAUUUCUUAUGCAUGUCAAAUAUGUUUCCUUCUCCUGCACUAGCUGUUCCUUCUGCUGGAAGAAUAUUUAUAUGACUGGCUAAACUUACUGUUCAGAUCUGAGAGUAAAUUUGCAUUUCUCAGAGAGUUAGUUCCUGACCACCCAACUCAAAGUACUAACACUCUAUCUAGUCCUUUUCUUGUUUGUUUUUCAUGUUUAUUUUAUUUCCCACCACUAGAAUCUAAGCUUUUUGAGAGCCGGCACUUUGUCCAUCUGGGUCACUGAAUCCCAAUGAGUUAUUCACAGAUGUUUUUAGUACAUAGUAGGUGAAAUGCAUAGAUAAUAUUUCAACUAAGAAAGUGAACAGAAGAAAGUUGGUCAUUGACUUAUUACUAGUAGCUCACUACUCUCUAUGUAUGAAGACAUCACUUACUGAUGGUUAUGAAGCAGAUGCUCAAUAAUUUUUUUUUAAUAAACAGGAGGGCAAGGAGCCAAUGUCGUUUGUAGUGGAGGGUAGUCAUGGACACUGAGAGUAUGUUUUAGACACAAUUUAUCAAUGGCCAGCCUCAGGCUGAGAUAAAAUAUAACAGAGUUUGCCAAGGUCUUUCAUGCCCAGGCAGUCAGUGCUCACAUGUUCCCUGUAACUGCCUGGGUACCUUUCCCUGAGUCAUCAGUCCUGUGUCUUAAUUCUUUUAGUAGCACCUGCAUUCUGCUCCUUUAACCUUCCAUCAAUCAGCUCUUAUAUACUGUACAUCUCUUUCUCAAGAAGCCUUGUGCAACGCAUGGUGAUUUCAACAGUGAUGAAUAUUUCCUUCCCUCUGACUUCUUAUGAAACCAGGAUAAUGAAGCAAAUUAGAAUGUAUUUUAACAUCACUCUCCCUUGUUUGCUGUCCAGCUAAUGAACAGUGGACUGGCUGAAGAAAGACCAGCAUGAAGCAGAAAAAUUGUUUGGUGAAAAAUUCAAGAAUGGGCCAAUAUCCAUUAAAAGAUUGAAAGAGGAGAUGUUUUGGGUCCACCUCCACUGGGGACAGAAAUUCCAUUCUGCCAACACCCCCUCCAUAUCCAUUGUCUGAAAGAGGCACUGCUGUUGAGUCAUAAGUAGGCUCCAGUGGCCCAUGUUGACCCUUUGAAAUUCCCAUGGGACUGUCAAUUCUAUCUAUUCUGGGAGCAGCCAACCAUAGCUAAUUACAGGCCUGUGGUAUUAGUGGAACAAGCUUCAGCUUUUUACAUUGGCUUGAUGGAGAACUGAGUAGAUAUAAAAGUGUUACAUGUUUUUCUGUAAUCAUAAUAACGUAAUCUUGUUUCAUAAUCAUUAAUAAUUCCUAACAUUUAUUGAAGAGUUAAUAUGUGUUGAGUAUUUUUGUAAGUGCUUAACAUGCAGUUUUUAAAAUUUUAACUCCUUUUUACAGAAAAGGUUUACAGAACGCCAGAGGGGUAGGUGAUUUUGCCAGAGCUCUUUUAGGUAAUAGGAAACAAAGCCAUAAAUUUGAUCCCAGCUAGUUUGACCCCAUAGUCCAAGCAUUAAUCCCUGAACCACACUAGCUCUGGCAAGGGUAUAAAUGAGCAGUGAUUACUAACUGACUUAAAACACAAUAGGAAUUAUCCCCAGUGAAUUCCAACAUAUAAAGGGACACUAAUUCUUGCCAUAGAAAAUCUAUUUGAUAAGUAUGAACAAGAAUUCCAAGGUUAUCAAAAAUAAUUUCUAAUAGUUUAAUUCUUUAAAAGAAAUGGUGUAUCUCAUGGACACAGGAAGGGGAACAUCACACUCCGGGGACUGUUGUUGGGUGGGGGGAGCGGGGAGGGAGAGCAUUAGGAGAUAUACCUAAUGCUAAAUGACAAGUUAAUGGGUGCAGCACACCAACGUGGCACAUGUAUACAUAUGUAACAAACCUGCACA